This 1510-nucleotide ribosomal RNA is filed under the name uncultured Bordetella sp. Its description in RNAcentral is "partial 16S-23S ribosomal RNA intergenic spacer". It matches the Rfam family "Bacterial small subunit ribosomal RNA". The record is from RNAcentral. Lineage: Bacteria; Pseudomonadati; Pseudomonadota; Betaproteobacteria; Burkholderiales; Alcaligenaceae.
UGGAGCAUCGGGUAAUGCAAGAGGGUUCGAUCCUGGCCAGAUUGAACGCUGGCGGGAUGCUUUUACACAUGCAAGUCGAACGGCAGCACGGACUUCGGUCUGGUGGCGAGUGGCGAACGGGUGAGUAAUGUAUCGGAACGUGCCUAGUAGCGGGGAUAACUACGCGAAAGCGUAGCUAAUACCGCAUACGCCCUUCGGGGGAAAGCGGGGACCUUCGGGCCUCGCACUAUUGAAACGGCCGAUAUCGGAUUGGCUAGUUGGUGGGGUAACGGCUCGCAAGGCGACGAUCCGUAGCUGGUUUGAGAAGGACGACCGGCCUGCUGGACUGAGACACGGCCCAGACUCUACGGAGAGGCAGCAGUGGGGAAUUUUGGACAAUGGGAAACCCUGAUCCAGCCAUCCCGCGUGUGCGAUGAAGGCCUUCGGGUUGUAAAGCACUUUUGGCAGGAAAGAAACGGCACGGGAUAAUACCCGAUGCAACUGACGAGAAACCUGCAGAAUAAGCACCGGCUAACUACGUGCCAGCAGCCGCGGUAAUACGUAGGGUGCAAGCGUUAAUCGGAAUUACUGGGCGUAAAGCGUGCGCGAGCGGUUCGGAAAGAAGAAAGAUGUGAAAUCCCAGAGCUUAACUUUGGGUGCAUUUUUUAACUACCGAGCUAGAGAGUGUGUCAGAGGGAGGUGAGAUUCCGCGUGUAGCAGUGAAAUGCGUAGAUAUGCGGAGGAACACCGAUGGCGAAGGCAGCCUCCUGGGGGAUAACACACUGACGCUCAUGCACGAAAGCGUGGGGAGCAAACAGGAUUAGAUACACUGGUAGUCCCGCCUAAGAAGUAUCAACUAGCUGUUGGGGCCUUCGGGCCUUGGUAAGCGCAGCUAACGCGUGAAGUUGACCGCCUGGGGAGUACGGUCGCAAGAUUAAAACUCGAGGAAUUGACGGGGGACCCGCACAAGCGGUGGAUGAUGUGGAUUAAUUCGAUGCAACGCGAAAAACCUUACCUACCCUUGACAUGUCUGGAAUCCCGAAGAGAUUUGGGAGUGCUCGCAAGAGAACCGGAACACAGGUGCUGCAUGGCUGUCGUCAGCUCGUGUCGUGAGAUGUUGGGUUAGAGUCCCGCAACGAGCGCAACCCUUGUCAUUAGUUGCUACGAAGGGCACUCUAAUGAGACUGCCGGUGACAAACCGGAGGAAGGUGGGGAUGACGUCAAGUCCUCAUGGCCCUUAUGGGUAGGGCUUCACACGUCAUACAAUGGUCGGGACAGAGGUCAUAACCCGCGAGGAGCCAAUCCCAGAAACCCGAUCGUAGUCCGGAUCGCAGUCUGCAACUCGACUGCGUGAAGUCGGAAUCGCUAGUAAUCGCGGAUCAGCAUGUCGCGGUGAAUACGUUCCCGGGUCUUGUACACACCGCCCGUCACACCAUGGGAGUGGGUUUUACCAAGAAGUAGUUAGCCUAACCGUAAGGAGGGCGAUUACCACCGGUAGGAUUCAUGACUGGGAUGAAGUCGUAACAAGUAA